RNAcentral lists this long non-coding RNA (428 nucleotides) under Glycine max (soybean). Its description in RNAcentral is "long non-coding RNA (GMAX_LNC000693)". Lineage: Eukaryota; Viridiplantae; Streptophyta; Magnoliopsida; Fabales; Fabaceae. The record is from RNAcentral.
AAUCUCAUGUUUUAUGCAUGUUUCAAGGCAAUCAAAAUAUGCUGAGUAGAAGAACAAUGCUUCAAUGAAACGGUUCACCAAGGAGGGUGAGUUAUGGUUUGCUUCUACUUCAAGGACUAUCAUUAUAACUGGUUUGAUAUUUCUUAUAAUCCUCAUCAAGUUCUCCAUGCAAUCAGGCCUUGAUACCAUGCUCCUUAGAAAAUAUGGAGAGUAAACAGCCACAGCUUCAUCCUCUCCAAUUUCGAAAUGAUCUUUCCUUAUUUCGGCAAUGUCGGCCACAAAAACUGCAUUAUAUGAAAAGGGUAAGUUCAAGGAUUCAGCAAAACUAGUUAAACUUUUGCCAGUCUCUUCUAUCUUGAUUUUCAAUGAGUUAAGUCCAAUGGCAGUUAUCUUCAAAAGUUGCACUAUGCAAUCCCGGCGUUCAGACA